GUAGUUUGAAUCCAUGUUCUUGGG
This 24-nucleotide non-coding RNA is filed under the name Cricetulus griseus (Chinese hamster). The record is from RNAcentral. Lineage: Eukaryota; Metazoa; Chordata; Mammalia; Rodentia; Cricetidae.